This is a long non-coding RNA of Oreochromis niloticus (Nile tilapia), 1217 nucleotides long. RefSeq lists it as uncharacterized. NCBI's taxonomy places the organism in Eukaryota, Metazoa, Chordata, Actinopteri, Cichliformes, Cichlidae. The transcript has 3 exons. The record is from RefSeq and is a predicted model, not a curated record.
GUUUUUGUCACUUUUUAUGGAAUCAAACUCAAAAUAAGUAAUAGCUGCUGUUUGCCCUGAAAUGAGAGCCAAGGCGGAGGAAUGUGUGGCGGAACACCAGCACAAAUUUGAUGAAGCUCACCUCAGAGGUGGAACACAGGUGAAGGAGGACACUUUUAACGGUUGGUGCAGAUUCACAGCGCUUUCUUUAAAACUGGCUUAAGGUGUUUUUGAGUUUCUGUGAUCUAUUAAAUAUUACCUCAUCAAUCAUCAAUCGUGUGGCAUCAAUGUGGUGAAAUUCCGACUUGCAUCACUCGGUUCUCCUCCACCUGUUUCAAUGUCAUGACACAUACAGGUGUACACGCAUCCUGACAAACACUGCAGGCUUUCUGCCUCCUGCUGUUACUGCAGCACAUCAAACACUCUCUCUCACACACACACAUACACACUUCAUGUAUUGCAUCAUGUGUAAAUGUGCAUAAACACCCUCUCUGUCAGCGUGUUUGUGCGUUCAGGCGGUGUGAGCGAGCUAAAGUGACAGCCCGCUGACCAAACUCCUGCCGCUGUUGCCAUCGCCGCCACUGAAUACCAAAGAGCAGCUCCCACUGAGCGUAAACACAGGGCGCAGCAGGGCCGUGACAGAUGACGACAGCGCUGCUGCUCCUGAGCACCUCCGGCAUCAGACGCUGAACGUCAGUGGAGGGAAGAUCAUUACAGGCAGAAGGCAGGAAAGGAGACAAUAUGGAGAUAGGAGGAGCAGGGUGAAGCGCUCUAACAGCCUCACCACAGGAUGCUGGCCUCGGAGGCGGAGUCAGCCCGUCAUGCAAAGUCGACUCGCCUGAGUCUGCUGUGGAAGGUGGAGGCAGUCAACUCCUCUCCUCUCAACUCUUCUUACUGUGGUUUCAAGCUGGUGCAGGUCAGGUUCCUUCAAGUUUUUUGGCCAGCAGGUGACAGAGGCCUUCGCCGGCCUUUACACCUCAGACGCAGCAGCUCCACCACAGAGCUCCUCCAUCACUUAGUUUUCACGUAUGAAGUGACUCUGUGUACCUCCACCCGGACCGCUGCCCCUUUUUCCCCUCCCCAGGAUCCGUUCAUGGACUCUUGUAUCUAGCCAUAGCGCACAGUUUGAGCUUCAUGUUUCAUAGUUAUGCCUCAUAGUUCAUAGUUCAUAGCCUACAUAAUUCAGAGUUCAAAGCCUUCAUAGUUUCUGGCAUUGUAAUUACAUUAGUCACUGUAAA